UUCAGAUUCAAAUCCAGACCAAGUGCAAAGGCAAAGCUGCAGGUCCUGGAAUCACACCAGGCUUCCCUCUGUGAAAUCCUAUGAUGGCAGUGUCAGCGGGUUAAGGAGGCCGUGUGGGAUUCAGGAAGAGCCCCGGCACGGGAGACCUCCUUAAUGCAACUUGAGAGCAUCCUUUCACCAAUGAACAGUUGAAACUGAAAUUUACUGUUUUAAAACAACGUGUAUGUAGUCACUGAUUAUGAUGCCAAGCACUCCGAAGUGCCUUGCAAAUAGUAGCCAUUGCUAUGUGUUCACGAAAACGCUUCCAAAGCUUGCACCCUGCAGUUAUAUGCUUUAUAAAUUGCUAGUGUAAUUCCAAGAGUAUCGCACCCUGUGGCUGACAAUGAGGCCCCAUCACUGACGAAGGACACUGCGCGGGGAGGGGGGUUGGGUAGGAAGCGUGGAAAGGACUCAAAGGCCGUGGGCACCGUGCUACCGUUUUUCCUGUUUUCCUACAAAGUUAGAGAGGAGGCUGGCGGGGUUAAUUUAUGACUACUUACCUCUCUCAUGUCACAGGUUACUGCAUCUCUAUAGAUUGUGGCUUCUGCUUGGUUUUGGGCGCCAAGAGGGAGCCUGCGAGGUGAGCGCGGUGGGACCCGGUGCUAGUUUCUGCCAUCUCGGGGUGGGGGGAGUAGCUCCGGAAGUAGCCGCGGUGACAGGCCCGCCGGCCAGGUGCUCGUCCUACCGCCAUGGGCACAGGCAGAUUCAGGCUUCCGGCCCUUCCGGAUAAGGGGCGAGGAUACAUUAUUUGUUGAAACUAAGGGAACAGCAAUAAAAGUUGCAAUGACAAAGAAAUGAAGAUUUAUGAUAAUUUAAAAAAAACCAACCUUGAAGUGCCUCCCCAACCUUCUCAUUUUGGGGGAGGCAAACUGGCCGCGAGCGCGGGGUCCGCUCGCCGGGGCCCGCGGUCGGGUAGACAGUCCGGCGGCCGCGCCAGCUGGGCCCGCGCGGGGGGCUGCGCGGACCCGAGGACGCAGGCGGGCUCCCACUGCCCGAGGGCUGGCCGCACGCGGGCGGGGCAACCACCAGAGCGUCGGCAGGCGCCGCCCACCCGCGGGGGAAUCCCAGGUUGGGGCGCGGGACGCGCGAAGACGCCGCGCCCCGCCCCCCGCCCCGCCCCCGCCGCCGCCCGCUCCCGGAGCCGCCGCCGCGCCGCGCUGCCAUUGGUGCCAGGCGGUGACGCGGGCGAGCGGGCCGCACGGCGGGGCGCGGGGGGCGGGCGCGGGGAGCGGGGCGCGGCUGAUGAAACCGGCUCCCGAUCCCUCCCGCUCUCAACGCUCCAUUCACUCCGCGGGGGCAGGUGUGAGCGGCAGGUCAGCUGCCGGCGGGGCGCGCGGCCACCCGGCGUCCGUUACCCGAGUCCCCCGCUCCUGCUCCCCGCGCGCCGCGCCUCCGCCCGAGCGUCCGUCAGUCCCGCCGAGCCUCGGUCGAUCGUCCGUCAGUCCAGACGCGGUCUUGCCUGCAUCCCGCCGCCCGCCGGCCCGCAAGGUGUGUGGCCCUGGCAGCGGGGACAGAGGCAGAGGGGCGCUCCGUCCAGUCCGACGCUGCGUGGGAGCGAGCAGCGCUGCCCCCAGCCCACGAGGGCCGACUCAGUUCUCCCAGCCCCUCCCCGCGCGCUACCCUGCCCCCAGCCAGCAGGACUUCCGGGCGACUUUAUCGUGCGUGUGGCCUGAGGGCCACAGACCUGCUCGUCUAGACCUUGCCUUAGCGCCUGGACCUACAGAUGCAGUGUGCACUAAUAAAUGUAAAACUUUAAACCAACGGGCAAGACUAACCAUGGCUGGGAAGGUAGCGCACGAAACAGGAGACGCUUCCGUUGCACUGUGCAUACUGCCUCCUCGUUACGACUGCUACGCCUCCAUCCACGUCUAAAAAGCGCGUAGGUGGGAUUGGACAGACGCGGCAGCAGGGGCAGGAUGGAGAAGAGGAAUACAUUUUGCAUACGUAUGUAAGUUAAAUUUGCAUGAUGUCCUAGUGCCUUUCACAUCCUGAAGUCAGACCUCACUUGUCUAAACCAUCUCACAGGCUCACAGGUGCGUGCGCACAGAUCCCCUCUGGGGAUUUCGCCGACCUGCAGAUCUGUUUCCGAAGGUCUGGGGCAGAGUUUCUAACCAGCUCCCGGGUUCUCUCGGAGUAGCCGGCAUCUGUCAAACUACUGGCAACUGGACCUCGUCAAGGAGACCUCAGCCGCCCU
Molecule: long non-coding RNA, 2233 nt
Organism: Balaenoptera musculus (blue whale)
Lineage: Eukaryota; Metazoa; Chordata; Mammalia; Artiodactyla; Balaenopteridae
Source: Ensembl